RNAcentral lists this ribosomal RNA (582 nucleotides) under uncultured bacterium. RNAcentral's name for it is "bacterial SSU rRNA". It matches the Rfam family "Bacterial small subunit ribosomal RNA", at positions 338 to 916 of the family's 1533-position model. The record is from RNAcentral.
CCUACGGGAGGCAGCAGUGGGGAAUUUUGGACAAUGGGGGCAACCCUGAUCCAGCAAUGCCGCGUGAGUGAAGAAGGCCUUCGGGUUGUAAAGCUCUUUUGUCAGGGAAGAAACACCGGCUCUAACACAGUCCGGGAAUGACGGUACCUGAAGAAUAAGCACCGGCUAACUACGUGCCAGCAGCCGCGGUAAUACGUAGGGUGCGAGCGUUAAUCGGAAUUACUGGGCGUAAAGCGUGCGCAGGCGGUUAUACAAGACAGGCGUGAAAUCCCCGGGCUUAACCUGGGAAUGGCGCCUGUGACUGUAUAGCUAGAGUGUGUCAGAGGGGGGUAGAAUUCCACGUGUAGCAGUGAAAUGCGUAGAUAUGUGGAGGAAUACCAAUGGCGAAGGCAGCCCCCUGGGAUAACACUGACGCUCAUGCACGAAAGCGUGGGGAGCAAACAGGAUUAGAUACCCUGGUAGUCCACGCCCUAAACGAUGCUGACUAGUUGUUCGGGAUUUACAUCCUGAGUAACGUAGCUAACGCGUGAAGUCAGCCGCCUGGGGAUCGGUCGCAAGAUUAAAACGUUAAGGAAUUGACGG